CAAGUUAAAGCUUUAAAAAGCAUUUUAGUUACAUUAAAAAGUUUAUUGUGUUAAACAAUAUAAUUUGA
Sitophilus oryzae (rice weevil) is the source of this 68-nucleotide non-coding RNA. The record is from the annotation of a RefSeq genome assembly. NCBI's taxonomy places the organism in Eukaryota, Metazoa, Arthropoda, Insecta, Coleoptera, Curculionidae.